AAGCAGAGACAGGACACCUGACCCAAACUGACCAAAGAGGUGGAAUACUUUGAGAAGUGAGAGCCUGCAAAAGUCUCUGCAAGAAAAAAAUACAGAAGGGAGAUCUAAGGCCCCGUUUAGGUACUGAAGGCUGCCCUAAGGUCUCCCAGAAGCCUUCUCUUCUCCAGAUUGAACAACCCCAACUCUCCAGACUGUCCUUACAGGAGAGGUGCUUGAGCCGUCAGGGCAUUUCUGUGAUCCUCCUAUGGACCCUCU
This is a long non-coding RNA of Pezoporus flaviventris, 255 nucleotides long. RefSeq lists it as uncharacterized. The transcript is spliced from 3 exons. The record is from RefSeq and is a predicted model, not a curated record. Lineage: Eukaryota; Metazoa; Chordata; Aves; Psittaciformes; Psittacidae.